This 534-nucleotide ribosomal RNA is filed under the name Curvularia geniculata. RNAcentral's name for it is "eukaryotic LSU rRNA". It matches the Rfam family "Eukaryotic large subunit ribosomal RNA", at positions 87 to 641 of the family's 3401-position model. The record is from RNAcentral. Lineage: Eukaryota; Fungi; Ascomycota; Dothideomycetes; Pleosporales; Pleosporaceae.
CGGCGAGUAACGGCACAGCUCAAAUUUGAAAUCUGGCUCUUUUGAGUCCGAGUUGUAAUUUGCAGAGGGCGCUUCGGCUUUGGCAGCGGUCCAAGUUCCUUGGAACAGGACGUCACAGAGGGUGAGAAUCCCGUACGUGGUCGCUAGCUAUUGCCGUGUAAAGCCCCUUCGACGAGUCGAGUUGUUUGGGAAUGCAGCUCUAAAUGGGAGGUAAAUUUCUUCUAAAGCUAAAUAUUGGCCAGAGACCGAUAGCGCACAAGUAGAGUGAUCGAAAGAUGAAAAGCACUUUGGAAAGAGAGUCAAACAGCACGUGAAAUUGUUGAAAGGGAAGCGCUUGCAGCCAGACUUGCUUGCAGUUGCUCAUCCGGGCUUUUGCCCGGUGCACUCUUCUGCAGGCAGGCCAGCAUCAGUUUGGGCGGUGGGAUAAAGGUCUCUGACACGUUCCUUCCUUCGGGUUGGCCAUAUAGGGGAGACGUCAUACCACCAGCCUGGACUGAGGUCCCGCAUCUGCUAGGAUGCUGGCUAAUGGUCAAU